AAUAAAAUGUGUAUCGCUACGGGAAAAUGGCUUGUUGAUCCAUUAAAAAAAUACUUUAAAUAACUUAAAAUAAAUAAAUACAUGCGUAAUGACAAAAAUAUCGAAUGGCGAUAAAAUAAAACUAAAUAAGUAGAGGCUUUUUUGGCUCAUCGCUUUAUUUAAAAAUAAUAAAUUAAAAUGCGUAUUGCCACACUAGAUGAAAGUUUUGACUAGAUAAAAAUAAAUAAAUAAAUGUGUAUUGAAUUAAUAGUCUUUCGAAAUUCCAAUUAAAUUAAAUUAAAUUAAAUUAGUGAAAGGUGAACAAGUGAAAAGUUUAAAAGUAGAAAACAAGUAUUUUUCUCAAACACUUUUAUAGGCAGAUAACAUCACGUUUAAGUGAUCUUUUGUGGUAAAAGUGAUAUCAUUUCACAAAUGCUGUCAAUCGAGCUCGUACUGAACCCCUAAGCAUCCCUUUAAUGUUUGACUAAACUACUAAACUAGUUGACAGGACCCAACUAAACCAGAGCCAGGGCCAAAAGAGCAGAAAAAGAGAGAGAGAGAGAGAGACAGACAAAGUGAAGAGGACAAAUGCUGACAUCUGAAUGAAACUGAGUGAUCAGACAUAGAAGACCGAGAGAGACACGACAAAAACGACUACAGGAUGAACAGAGAAAAGCGACGAAGACGGCACACGGAUACAGACCAAACUGAGACACGGUAACAGCUGGAGGGAGAAAGAGAGACAAAAGACAGCGUAAGAGGAAGAGAGACGCUUUUUCUGUGAUGGAAAGGCAGAAGAUUAUUCGCAUGACUGAAGAGUCAAACAAAACCAUGAGAGAGACGUCAACCAAACCAGCACAGCUGCAGGAGAGAGAGAGCGAGAGAGAGACGCCUGGAAAGACAAGAAACCCUGCAGUCAGUCAGUCAGAGAGAGAGAGAGAGAGAGAGAGAGAGAGAGAGAGUUAAACUAAAGCACACACAGAGCCAGAAACGCUGGAGAUUAGUUCUACAGAAAACAAACCACGGAAAAAAAGAAAGACAAAGAGACCAGGAAGGAAGCGUUUGGUUUCCAGAGAGGUGAAGCUUUGAGGAGAAAGAGAGAAAAUGAGCGCUGGAAAGACAAAAGAGAGAGAAGGAGUAAACAAAUAGUGUAAAGGAACACAGCAAAUGGCACACGCAGUCGAACACAGAGAGCAGGAGGAAGAAGAGAGACAUUCGGGAGGAUCGGACUGAGUUUAGACUGGAGGGGGGCAGGCGGUGGGACGCUUCGCUCUCCAUUGAUUCAAACGAGGAAGAAGACUGGGAUCGAAAUGGCUUUUUGAAGCACAAAAAGAAAAAAAUAAUAGUACGAAAUGAGGGGGCGUGCAGAGCCCGGAUUCCCCCCCGCAUCUGGAAUAUGCUCUUCCAAGCGCUCUCGCCUCGAAAGUGGGCUGUUGGCAUGGCAACCAAGGGGCGACGAGUGUGUGUGUGUGUGUGUGUGUGUGUGUGAGGGAUGGAGGGCAGCAAACGGGAGACCAUAGUGCACAAACAGCAGACGAGGAGAAGGAUAUAUGACAGAGGCAUCGGAGUGUGUGUCAGCGCCGGCCUCGGGAGACGUACGCCACUUCAGUCAGAGGCCUGUAAAUUAGCCUGGAGAGCGGCGUCAGUCCCCUCCUCUCACUGGCACGACACCAAACACACUAAAUCACCCCGAUAACGCCACGCAGAGAGAGAGAGAGAGAGACACUCACGUCUGCGAUCACUCGCCGGCCCUCUAAAUGAUCAAAAACUAAUUCAGCCUGUGACUCACUGCCAUUAUCCAGCGCAAAAAAACAUUGCGCGAUGAUCGCUGGUUAGCCAGAGAGGAUUUCCCUGGAGAGUGUGUGCUGUGUGUUAUCUAGAGAGCAAUGCUUUUUAAUAAAUGAAUGUUUAUGUAAGUGACAAGCAUGAAUCGAAAUAAUAUGCUCCUCGCAGAGCAACUCACCAAACGUGCACACACACACACACACACACACACACACACACACACACGCACACAGAAAAUGAACAAAUCGGCUGCGUUCAAAAUACUAUUUCUGUAAUAUGCACAGUGAAUUUGAAGUAUUAUAUUAAUGGUUAUAUUAAUGACCAUUUAGAUGUAUAUUUUAUGCACAUUUAUUUGCACAUACCUAUUUUUUAAAUAUUAAUUAAAUAUUUAAA
Long non-coding RNA from Puntigrus tetrazona (Sumatra barb), 2157 nucleotides. RefSeq lists it as uncharacterized. Lineage: Eukaryota; Metazoa; Chordata; Actinopteri; Cypriniformes; Cyprinidae. The transcript has 3 exons. The record is from RefSeq and is a predicted model, not a curated record.